This 200-nucleotide ribosomal RNA is filed under the name Dendrobium nobile. RNAcentral describes it as "partial 26S ribosomal RNA". It matches the Rfam family "Eukaryotic large subunit ribosomal RNA", at positions 1 to 196 of the family's 3401-position model. Lineage: Eukaryota; Viridiplantae; Streptophyta; Magnoliopsida; Asparagales; Orchidaceae. The record is from RNAcentral.
GUGACCCCAGGAUGGGCGAGGCCACCCGCCGAGUUUAAGCAUAUCAAUAAGCGGAGGAGAAGAAACUUACGAGGAUUCCCCUAGUAACGGCGAGCGAACCGGGAUAGGCCCAGCAUUGGAAUCGGGCUGCCAUGUAGCAGCUUGAAUUGUAGUCUGGAGAAGCGUCCUCAGCGACGGACCGGGCCCAAGUACCCUGGAAA